GAAGUGUCUGGGAACAAGGUGACUCUUCUGUCUCCGGAGAGGUGUCUCAGGGAGGCAGUUGCAAACUGCAGCAUGGACAAAGAGAAGUUUCUGACAGGUUUGAAAAUUCUGAUAAGGAGCAAAGUCAACGUUUCCGCUCUCCAAUAAACAUGGGACAAGAGAGAAUCCUCAGAGAAUCCCCAGGACAACUCUGGACCUCCCCUUACAAUUUUAAUUGGAACUGCACCCUUCAAAAUUCAAUGGAUUUAAAAAGUUUCCAAUUUUUUGAGUGCAAUCCAUCUCUAGAGCAAAGUAUGACUGAGUAUUUGGAAGGCAGGAUGAAACAGACAACCAGCUAGCCAGGACUGACUGGCCUCAUGCAAAGCAUUGGUAACUCUCCUGGAAGCUCAAUAAUGCUCCCACCAAGCUGGAAUAAAAGUGCUUCUUUAAAACAA
Molecule: long non-coding RNA, 434 nt
Organism: Sphaerodactylus townsendi
Lineage: Eukaryota; Metazoa; Chordata; Lepidosauria; Squamata; Sphaerodactylidae
Exons: 4
Source: RefSeq, a predicted model, not a curated record